RNAcentral lists this ribosomal RNA (801 nucleotides) under uncultured bacterium. RNAcentral's name for it is "bacterial SSU rRNA". It matches the Rfam family "Bacterial small subunit ribosomal RNA", at positions 8 to 809 of the family's 1533-position model. The record is from RNAcentral.
AGAGUUUGAUCCUGGCUCAGGAUGAACGCUGGCGGCGUGCUUAACACAUGCAAGUCGAGCGAAGCACUUAAGUGGAUCUCUUCGGAUUGAAACUUAUUUGACUGAGCGGCGGACGGGUGAGUAACGCGUGGGUAACCUGCCUCAUACAGGGGGAUAACAGUUAGAAAUGGCUGCUAAUACCGCAUAAGCGCACAGGACCGCAUGGUCUGGUGUGAAAAACUCCGGUGGUAUGAGAUGGACCCGCGUCUGAUUAGCUAGUUGGAGGGGUAACGGCCCACCAAGGCGACGAUCAGUAGCCGGCCUGAGAGGGUGAACGGCCACAUUGGGACUGAGACACGGCCCAGACUCCUACGGGAGGCAGCAGUGGGGAAUAUUGCACAAUGGGGGAAACCCUGAUGCAGCGACGCCGCGUGAAGGAAGAAGUAUCUCGGUAUGUAAACUUCUAUCAGCAGGGAAGAAAAUGACGGUACCUGACUAAGAAGCCCCGGCUAACUACGUGCCAGCAGCCGCGGUAAUACGUAGGGGGCAAGCGUUAUCCGGAUUUACUGAGUGUAAAGGGAGCGUAGACGGAAGAGCAAGUCUGAUGUGAAAGGCUGGGGCUUAACCCCAGGACUGCAUUGGAAACUGUUUUUCUAGAGUGCCGGAGAGGUAAGCGGAAUUCCUAGUGUAGCGGUGAAAUGCGUAGAUAUUAGGAGGAACACCAGUGGCGAAGGCGGCUUACUGGACGGUAACUGACGUUGAGGCUCGAAAGCGUGGGGAGCAAACAGGAAUAGAUACCCUGGUAGUCCACGCCGUAAACGA